CUCUUAUAGAUUUUAUAGAAUUUGGUUUUUAGGUGAAGAAACCUAAAUAUAAUUAAAAGACAAGAAGACCCUAUCGAGCUUAAAAUAAUUUUUUUGGUAUAAUGAUAACACCUUACUCAAAAAAAGAUUUUAGUUGGGGCGACUAAGGAACAAGAAAAGCUUCCUAUAAGCUAUACUUACUAAUAAGUAUUGAUCCAAAAAAUUUGAUUAACAGAAUUAGUUACCGUAGGGAUAACAGCAUAAUCUUUUCUAAGAGUCCUUAUCGAAGAAAAGGUUUGUGACCUCGAUGUUGGACUAGGGUGCCCAGAUAGGUGCAGAAGCCUUCAAUGGUUGGUCUGUUCGACCA
Molecule: ribosomal RNA, 346 nt
Filed under: Pseudamnicola sp. Tinos
Lineage: Eukaryota; Metazoa; Mollusca; Gastropoda; Littorinimorpha; Hydrobiidae
Description: partial 16S ribosomal RNA
Rfam family: Bacterial large subunit ribosomal RNA
Source: RNAcentral